This 253-nucleotide ribosomal RNA is filed under the name uncultured bacterium. RNAcentral's name for it is "partial 16S ribosomal RNA". It matches the Rfam family "Bacterial small subunit ribosomal RNA", at positions 524 to 776 of the family's 1533-position model. The record is from RNAcentral.
GACGAACCGUGCGAACGUUGUUCGGAAUCACUGGGCUUAAAGGGCGCGUAGGCGGCUCGCGAGGUCCGGGGUGAAAUCCUCCGGCUUAACCGGAGAAUUGCCUGGGAUACUGGCGGUCUUGAGGGAGGUAGGGGCACGCGGAACUUCCGGUGGAGCGGUGAAAUGCGUUGAUAUCGGAAGGAACGCCGGUGGCGAAAGCGGCGUGCUGGCCCUCUUCUGACGCUGAGGCGCGAAAGCCAGGGGAGCGAACGGG